This 5391-nucleotide long non-coding RNA is filed under the name Callithrix jacchus (white-tufted-ear marmoset). RNAcentral describes it as "lncRNA (ENSCJAG00000074586.1)". Lineage: Eukaryota; Metazoa; Chordata; Mammalia; Primates; Cebidae. The record is from RNAcentral.
AUGAGCCAAAUAUCAAACUUUAAUCUUCUACCCACUUUAUUUUUGCUUAAAAACAGGAAGACAGAAUGUCUUGUCAAGGGUCACCCCAGGAGGAGGAGUAAAUUCCCCCAAAAAAGCAGAACAUAUUUUUAUGAUUUAAUUAAUACAGUUUCUCUCAAUGUAUCUGUUUAUCAUUUGAGCAUCCGCAUGAUCAGACCUGACUUCUGCCUGCAUUUUCUUGCUUGUCUUCAGUUAAGAACCUUUUGGGUUUUUCUUUUUGCUCUUUUUUUCCCCCAGCAGUACGGUGUAGUAAGUUUGGAACAAGACGCACCUGAAAUCAAAUACCUGUCCUAUGCCUGCAGGCUGGAGUGCGGUAGCACAAUCUCGGCUCACUACAACCUCCACCUCCCAGAUUCAAGCGAUUCUCCUGCCUCAGCCUCCCUAGUAUCCUGUGUGUUAAGCUCCAAUCUUCGUCACGUGAGAGUAUUUGAAAUGGAUAUAGAUGAUGACUGAGAGCUCGAUGAGUCUUCAGAUGAAGAGGAGGAGGCCAGUAACGAGCCUGUGAAAAUAAAGGAAGAAGUGUUGUCAGAGUCGGAGGCAGAGAACCAACAAGCCGGUGCUGCCGCCUUAGCUCCAGAGAUAGUCCUCAAAGUGGAAAAACUUGACCCUGAGCUAGAUUCAUAAUCUAGCUUGCUAUUACUGUGUGUGUCAUUAUGGCCAAAAGGACCUAGGAGAUGGACUGAGAUGUCUUGGACCACCUUUAAUUUUCUUUGUGUGACAAAGAAAUAAACAGUCAAUUUUAUUUUUUCAAAAUUACAGGCACAUGCCACCACAUUCAACUAAUUUUUGUAUUUUUAGUAAAGACGGGGUUUCAUCAUGUUGGCCAAAAUGGUCUCCAUCUCUUGACCUCCUAAUCCACCUGCCUCAGCCUCCUAAAGUGUUGGGAUUACAGGUGUGAGCCACCAAAGUUUCUUUUGCCAACAACUUGAAAUGAAAAAAGCGGAGAACUGACUGGCCUUAUUUGUUUUAGAUUCUGGACUUUACUAGGACUUCCUACUCUCAGAAUCUCUGGACUAUAAAAGCUGGGUGGGGUGGGAGCUGGGAACGUUCUUCUGGGAAAUUAAUCACAAAUGAAAAGAAAAUCAACUCUCAGACUCCAGUUAGAAGACUUUUGAAAAUUGCAGAACAUGAGUGGCCUUCAUUCAUUCAAGUCACAAUAUUUAAAGCAGUCCUUGCUAAAAAGAACUUGAUUUUGUAAAAGCAGUGUCUUAAAUAGAAUUGCUUCUCAAGAAAACAACAGGAAAUUGAUGUCUGAAUGGUUUUAUUUACAAACAUCUCGCUCUGUAAACCUCUGCAGGUAUUUCCACGCUCCCAGGGGCCACCGUCCCAUUUCACAUAUAAUUUGGAUCACGGUUCUGUUGGUCGUCACACACAUCAAACGAAUGGCUUUUCAUGCUACUUUUAUCCAUAAAGCUAUACAAACUUUAAGGGCAGCUGUAUAUGUGACAACUUGAAAAAGAUCUGCCAAAAGGUGUGAUACCAAGCUUUGCUUUUCAUAGCACUAAAAUGAUGCUCACUACAGAAAUACUUUCAAUAUGUGAGUGGAAACACAUUUCUCUACGGGGACUCCUGGUCAGGGAGUCUCUCUAAAGAAAAGUCACAGUACUGUGGCUCAGAUCAUGGGCUCAGAAGUCAAAUGAGAAGCCCAAGACCAGUCCUUCUGAGCUGUGUGAACUUAGACGAGUUGCCUAAUCUCUCUGUGUCUCAGCUCUCUCCCAGUGUUGUCAAUGGGAGUGCUGUGAGAGCAAUGUUGUAAAAAGCGCUUAGAACUGUGUCUGGCACACAGAAAGCACUCGAUAAAUAUUGACCUGGUUAUCUGCAGUGCAUCAUUACAGCAUCUCUACAUCACAAGGGGCCUGAUGGGAAGAGACCAGCACUGAGAUUGAAUAAAACAGUGCCGGCUCUCACCUGCUCUGCCAUUGUCUCCUAAGCGGUUGUUUGUUUGUUUUUUGUUUUUUGUUUUUUUUUUGAGACAGAGUCUCACUGUCACCCAGACUGGAGUGCAGUGGCACCAUCUCAGCUCACUGCAACCUCUGCCUCUUGGGUUCAAGUGAUUCUUCUGCCUCAGCCUUCUAUGUAGCUGGGAUUACAGGUGCGUGCCACCAUGCCCGGCAAAUUUUUAUAUUUAUUAGAGACGGGGUUUCAUCAUGUUGGUCAGGCUGGUCUCGAACUCCUGACCUCAUGAUCCCCCGACCUCAGCCUCCCAAAGUGCUGGGAUUACAGGCAUGAGCCACUGUGCUCCACCCUCCUAAGCUUUUUAAAUCUCACUUUUCACCAGUAACUAAUGAAAAGAUUGAAGGAGUGGGUCCCCUGAGGUCUUUUCAAUUUCUAAAAUUCUCCAGCUUUAUUUAAUCCUGCAGUGAAUCCUUUUGCAAGGUAAAGAGUACUUACUCCCCUCAAUAACCUCUUAUGCGUUUAGGUUUUGUUGCAUAGGGCAAUGCCCAGGACAUUGAUGAUUUUCACUGUCACCAUAGCCCACAGGUGAUGUGAGCAAUCCAUUAGCUUGUUUCUGGAAACAAGCCUGUAUGUAUUUGUUCCCCCAGCAUCUGCUCUCAGCACACUGACUUUUCCCAGUAUAUGUGUUGGAUGGAUAAGUGAACGAAUGAAUGAAUGACAUAAAGAUUGUAAAUUGCCUCAGCCUUCUACUGGAAAAUAACCUAAAGGAAAGGGGAAAAUUGCUACUUAACACCACAAGUGCCACUCCAGGGAUGCAUUCUAUGAAAGGAGGAGUGCUAACUGCCAGGUCCCCACUGGUCCUUGGUGCUGCUUAUGGCCUGGAAGACCUCUCCUGCAGUCAAGAGCCCUGACGUGCUGGCUGGGCAAAGGUGAGUCUGGGAGCUUUAGGUGUAGCAAUGGAGAGAAUUCACUCUCUUUGCCUAAGAAAGAGGACUUAGAGGGGAACUUGAAAGAGGGAGUAAGAGAGAGGGCAAUAAGACAGUCUGAGGCUAGGCACUCCAUGCAGUGUGAGGCCAGUCUGGAGGUGGGGUUGUCUGGAAAACAUUCAGCAAUGGGACAUCUGCUCUUCUGUCUUCUGUGGCAUUUUAAGUUCUGUACAGCAAUGUCGUGCUUUUCCUUAACAACUUCCCAGCUUGUAUUUGUAGGUACUGAGAUGCAAGGUUGCAGGGGAGGCAGGGAACCCAGACUGGGAUCAAUACCAGGACUGAGAUAAAGGAACAGCUGUAAGACCAAGAGAACAAGACCUCAGCAAAAUCAGGGAAUUCGGGGCCCGCCAUGGUGAUGGGAACGUGGGCUCUGAGGAACCACAGACAGCCAAGGAAGACCUUGGCCUCUCCAUGGGAAUGGACAGCCCAACUUGUCUCCCUCUCACGGAGAAGAUGACCUCUGGAUAUGUGAGUCACAAAAGGCCAGAACUUUUCUGCAUCACAAAGUCACCUCUAGCCAUUAGCCUGGUGGCCUUCCCUCCAGCAUUCUGUCUGAAAGGACACAUGCCAUUUAGCUGGGAAAUUAUAUCAAAACCAAUCCAAGAAAGGCUAACAACGAACCCAGCCUGCUGAAAAAAUGUGUGCAGAUCUCCCACAGCACCCUCUUACAAACACAGGUCAUUUGGAAUAGCCACCUGGGCCAGUGGCAGCUGGUACUGAGCAAUCCACCCCCAACUCUCAAAGCCCGUCUUUUCCUGUCCUGGUCAGGUCUGUUUCUUCUCUCUUGAUCAACAGAAAUGACUCCCAAACUACUUAGCACAGAGCAGCUCAUGAGUAUAGAUUCAAAUAGGUCAUACUCGAUUAUGAAAUCAGGCUGCCUGGGCCAGACCUGACAUAACCCUGAUCCCAAAGGACCACCCCUACCCUUCCCUGGGAACCACCAGAAAAGUGGUCAUAUGUGCCUAAGACGUGCUCGCCACCAGUGCCCCAGACACUUAUGUGCUAAAAGGGCCAACAUGCAGAUUCGGAUUCAGAGGUCCAGUUGGGGCCUGAGAAUCUGCACUCUCUGCAAGCCCCCAGGUGGUGCUAACACAGCAGAAACAUUGGCCUCUUAGGCCCCACCACGGACCUAACUAAAGCCAAAUCUGCACUGGAACAAGAUGCCCAGGCCGUCUACCACCCUGAAGUUGUUCAUGCUGGCCUCACUUAGAUGAGGGAGUUCCAGAUUAGAGAAAGGUCAGAUCACCAGAGCCCAAAUGGGCAGCCACCAGAGUGAGGAGGAGAGGAGGGAGGGGCAGGUCAGAGAGGUCAGCAGGACUAGAUUCUGCAGUACCUGGAGCCACAGUGGGGAAUUGAAGCUGUCCUGGCUCACUGGAAAGCCAGUGGACGAUUUCCAAGAGGAGAGUGACAAAAUCAGAGGGAACAUUUUUUUUUUUUUUUGUCCACUACACUAGUGACAGAGGGAACAUUUUAUAGGAUCCUUCUGGCUGGGGGAUACAGGACCACUUGUGGGGGGAUAGGUGAAUUAAGGGAGGUCCUAGAGGGAUCUAGGGUAGCGGUCCAGUCCAAGAGACCUAGAGAGGGUAGCCACAGUAAGCAGACAAGCACAUCGCACAUGGUCCAGGGUGCUUUGCAGGCCUCUGAGUCGGUCAAAUACAAAAGGAAAGCCCUCCCACUUUCCCUUCUCCCUGGAACAGAUCUCUCUGACUUCUCACCUGGAAGCUACCCACAGGUUGCCAACUCCUCCUUCUGUUUCCUAACCCUCCCUCCUUCAAUCCAUCUGACACUUUCCUGACCCUGCUCAAAAACCUUCAAUAGCUCCCCAUUGCCUACCAAAUGAUCUACAACCUCCUCGGCCCACACUUUUAUGUUCUACUUCUAUUUCUGCCUGACCCAUGACACAGUAGUUCAUGCUUUCAUUCAUGCAACAAAUAUGUAUUGAGUACCAUCAACAUGGAAGGCACUAAAAAGAAAUCACUCAUCUGCCAAGGCACAUAGUCAAUUUCAGGAGGGUUAUAGCCACGCUGAAACGCUCUCCCAGAUAAGUGCUCUGACUGCAGCAAAUAAAAAUAAUGAUAGACAACACUUAUUAAAUACUGUGUGCCAACUAUCAUGUCACUUUGUGGGACUAUCUUAAUAACGUUCCUCAGACACGUGUAAUGGAGAGGGGUGGCCUCAUUUUGUUUUGUUUUUGUUUGAGACAGGGUCUCACUCUGUCACCAAGGCUGCAGUGCAGCGGUGUGAUCUCAGCUCACUGUAGCUUCAAUCUCCUGGGUUUAAGCAGUCUUCCCACUUGAGUCUCCCAAGUAGCUAAGACCACAGGUAUGUGCCACCACGCCUGGCUAAUCUUUUUGUUUUCUGGGGGAUGUUACCAUGUUGCCCAGGCUGAUCGUGAACUCCUGAGCUCAAGCGAUCCACCUGCCUCGGCCUCCCAAAGUGCCAGGAUUACAGGUGUGAGCCACUGCACCUG